GAUGAACGCUGGCGGCGUGCCUAAUACAUGCAAGUCGAGCGAACAGACGAGGAGCUUGCUCCUCUGACGUUAGCGGCGGACGGGUGAGUAACACGUGGAUAACCUACCUAUAAGACUGGGAUAACUUCGGGAAACCGGAGCUAAUACCGGAUAAUAUAUUGAACCGCAUGGUUCAAUAGUGAAAGACGGUUUUGCUGUCACUUAUAGAUGGAUCCGCGCCGCAUUAGCUAGUUGGUAAGGUAACGGCUUACCAAGGCGACGAUGCGUAGCCGACCUGAGAGGGUGAUCGGCCACACUGGAACUGAGACACGGUCCAGACACCUACGGGAGGCAGCAGUAGGGAAUCUUCCGCAAUGGGCGAAAGCCUGACGGAGCAACGCCGCGUGAGUGAUGAAGGUCUUCGGAUCGGAAAACUCUGUUAUUAGGGAAGAACAAAUGUGUAAGUAACUAUGCACGUCUUGACGGUACCUGAUCAGAAAGCCACGGCUAACUACGUG
This 497-nucleotide ribosomal RNA is filed under the name uncultured bacterium. RNAcentral describes it as "partial 16S ribosomal RNA". It matches the Rfam family "Bacterial small subunit ribosomal RNA", at positions 28 to 507 of the family's 1533-position model. The record is from RNAcentral.